UGGGGAAUAUGGCGCAAUGGGCGAAAGCCUGACGCAGCGACGCCGCGGGAGGGAUGAAGGUUUUCGGAUCGUAAACCUCUGUCAGAAGGGAAGAAACGGCACUGUGCUAAUCAGCAGUGCCUUGACGGUACUUUCAAAGGAAGCACCGGCUAACUCCGUGCCAGCAGCCGGGGUAAUACGGAGGGUGCAAGGGUUAAUCGGAAUUACUGGGCGUAAAGCGCACGUAGGCUGCUUUGUAAGUCAGGGGUGAAAUCCCACGGCUCAACCGUGGAACUGCCUUUGAUACUGCUUAGCUUGAAUCCGGGAGAGGGUGGCGGAAUUCCAGGUGUAGGAGUGAAAUCCGUAGAUAUCUGGAGGAACAUCAGUGGCGAAGGCGGCCACCUGGACCGGUAUUGACGCUGAGGUGCGAAAGCGUGGGGAGCAAACAGG
RNAcentral lists this ribosomal RNA (429 nucleotides) under Fusobacteriota bacterium. Its description in RNAcentral is "Fusobacteria bacterium partial 16S ribosomal RNA". It matches the Rfam family "Bacterial small subunit ribosomal RNA", at positions 355 to 776 of the family's 1533-position model. The record is from RNAcentral. Lineage: Bacteria; Fusobacteriati; Fusobacteriota.